AACGGCCGUACCAUGCUGAAUAUACCGGUUCUCGUUAGAUCACCGAAGUCAAGCAUCAUUGGGCGCGGUCAGUACUAGGGUGGGUGACCAUCUGGGAACACCGUGUGCCGUU
Molecule: ribosomal RNA, 112 nt
Filed under: Caerostris darwini
Lineage: Eukaryota; Metazoa; Arthropoda; Arachnida; Araneae; Araneidae
Source: RNAcentral